This 373-nucleotide ribosomal RNA is filed under the name uncultured organism. Its description in RNAcentral is "partial 16S ribosomal RNA". It matches the Rfam family "Bacterial small subunit ribosomal RNA", at positions 527 to 896 of the family's 1533-position model. The record is from RNAcentral.
GAGGGGUGCAAGCGUUAUUCGGAAUUACUGGGCGUAAAGAGCGUGUAGGCGGCUUGUUAAGUUAAUUGUUAAAGACCUUGGCUCAACCAGGGACCGGCAAUUGAUACUGGCUAGCUAGAGGGCAAGAGAGAGAAGUGGAAUUCUCGGAGUAGCGGUAAAAUGCGUAGAUCUCGAGAGGAACACCGGUUGCGAAGGCGGCUUCUUGGCUUGUACCUGACGCUAAAGCGCGAAAGCGUGGGGAGCAAACAGGAUUAGAUACCCUGGUAGUCCACGCCGUAAACGAUGAUCACUAGGUGUUGGUCCCGGCUUAGCUGGAUCAGUGUCGUAGCUAACGCGUUAAGUGAUCCGCCUGGGGAGUACGGUCGCAAGAUUA